UGCCCACUGCAGCUGCCCUAUUGAACCAAUUGGAAUUCAGAUAAAUUAUCUGACGUAAUGUUAGCAGAUAGGGACUGGCUGGUUGGAGUAACGUGUCGGGGCUGGCACGAAGCUUACGGAAGGCAGGCAAAAAAGCUGCAGUAGUAUGCGUUUUGUCGUGAUGGAAGUGUGGUGCUGUGUCCGGUGAUGCAUCCCGUGAGGAACUGCCGCGACGAAGGCAGAGGAGUGCGCGAAGGAAUGCUGCUGGCAGAAACCACGACUCCAGUUGUUGAGGAGUUAGCGAGCAGCAGCAGCAGCAGCAGCAGCAGCCACACUGUCCAAUGAAUCUGAGUUGAUGACUUGCACAUAAAAGUGUUUUGAGUUGAGUGCGAACAUUGGCCUCAAGAAGCACCACUUGGCGUGAUGCUUGCUGCUGUUUGGGCGGCGCGUUUGGCGGAAAUGAGACAUACCUGGUUUUAUGUUCUUGGCCUGUGACGCUGCAGCCACUGGUGGUGACUGGUGCCGGGCGAUGAGCUGGAUGGCCACGUGGGGACUGUCGCAAUUAAGUCGUCGGGGCCAUCCAAUCCUUAAGGCGGGGCGAGACUCCUGCCGCCCUCCAGUCACUACUUCAUUCUAUCUCCCUCACCACUCCCUGCUGCCACCACCAUAACCACCACUAUCUUCACGUCUUGAAGAACGCCAUUAGACGCUUCUCCCCCCGGUACCAUCACUCGUGCCUCCGCCAUCACUCCUCGCCACUCCAAAGCUCCGCUUGUCUUUGUCUCCCUGUCCUCUACCAUGCCGGACGCCUCAACAACGUAAUGGACUGCGAGACCUUUGCUAUUUGUAUGCAAUGACGAGGACUAGUCAGCUCAGUGUGCUUGUGUGCAUUUGAUUUGGCUGCAUGUUUGUGUGUAGAUUCUUGGAACACAGUGCAAAUCCUUUGGGCAAUUGGAAUUAUUAGUAUUUAUGAGAUUAAAGAAAAAUCAAUGCGGAAUAUACGAGUAACAAAUCAUUAAUGUUUUUUUUCUUUCUUUCUUUUUUUUUUUUUUUUUUUUUUUUAGGGAUUAAUAUUGUUUUGUUUUUUUCGUGUAAUUCUUGCGUGUGUUGUUAUAGAUAUGAUUCAUGUCGAGGAAUAAAAAUACAUGUAUGUGCUUUAUACGGAGGCAGCAAUUUCCAUGCAAAAAGAAGGUAGGAUAUCGAGGCAUUAUUUAUUCCGGAUGUAUUAAAGGUGUGUGGGAGCGUUCGUCACGCCGCCCGCCGCCGCUUGCAGCCCGGCCAGACACCUGUGUGGGCGGCCGGCUACACUGUGCUGGGGGCGCUGCUUUUAUUAUUAUCAUUAUUAUUACUGCUCUUAUCAUAUUGCUGUUAUAUUUUUCGUGCUAAAUAUUUAUGAUAUCUCGAGAAAUUUCUUUGUUUAAGCUAGAAGGGUAUUUUUUUUUCUUAGAUCAUCAUUUUUGUUACUAAUAAAGUGUAUUGUUGUUAUAUUUUGUGCUCGCCGACUGCCAAAAAUACCCAUGAUUUUUUUUUUUUCGUUAGCUGGAAGAGAUGCGUAUUACAGGCUUUUGCUUAUUUCUUUCGUUGUUGUUGUUGUUGUUGUUGUCAUCUUCACCACCAUCAUCACCACCACCACCACCACCACCGUCAUGACCUACUUUUGGGCUGAAAAAUAGACCUGGAGGCGAGAUAUAUGGGCCAUGAGGUGCGCCAUCCCGGGUAGUGAGCUCCUAACGCGGAUAUUCAAGGUAAACAUCGCGGCCUGGACACGUUACCAAUCAGGCCAAGGUGAUCACCAAGGCCUGAGUGGAUUCUGAUACGCCUUCACUGUCCUACCCUUCUUGUUUCUGCUGCUUCAGUUAGUUCUCAUUCCUCUACAUGUAAAUCACUCUUCAUAUCUAUUCCUUUAAGAACCAUCCUCUUAUUCUCCUCAAGAAAUUUCUUUAUUAUUAACUAGAAAAAAGGCUCAUUCAUUAUUAUUAUUAUUUUUUUUGGUUAAGAUCAUCGUUGCUUCUCUUCUUUAUUCCCCUCCUUCCACAAACACAACUACGAAAGGGGAGGAUUCAUAGUCUGUUUGUGUUGUGUUUGUCCCGCUUCACUUCACAGCAUCCUGUGUCUCUCAGUAGUAUUUAAGGUCCAUGUUAGUGAAGAAAUGGUCUCCAAUAUUAUUAAGAGCAGCAUAUAAGACUGUCAAGUUGGAUAUUAUACACCACCUGCUUCCCAACCUAUUCAUCCUACCCACCUACCUAUACACACACAUACACACACACACACACACACACAGGAAUCAUAGCAAGACGAGCGCUUGUAGCCGAAAUAAUUAGCUUAUUUGGCAGAGAAAUGAAGAGUUAAAAGACUGCCUUCCUGGUCUUGUACGUUCGUAAACUUUCCACCGCCUUUUAUUUUCUAACUUUCUUCCUUUUGUCUCUGGCUUUCAUUGUGUCUUUUGCUUUCGAAUCCUUUGCAUUUAGCCUCCAUUCUGCUUUUUUUUUUUUUUUUCUGUAAUUGUUUCAUUAUACAGUACUUGGUGUUGUUAGAUAUUGCAGUGCUAAAUAUCUCAGUCAGUCAGUAAAUCAGUUAAUCAUUCAGUCUAUGUCAGUCACUCAGUCAGUCAGGUACUCAGUCAGCCACACGGUUAAUUAAUCAAUCAGUCAAUCAGGCACUCAAGUCAAGCCAACCAGUCAGUCAACCAACCAGUCAAUCACCCCCAUCUUUAUUUUCAUACACACACACACACACACACACACACACACACACACACACACACACACACACACACACGAGCACCCUCCCGUUUGUCUCGAGUCACGUUUCGCUCCUUGACAGUCGUGGUUGCAAAGAUAAACAGAGUGGUCGUCCUAUCGUCCACAGUCACUCACUCGCCUUUCCGUUCAGCGAGUUCCCAACACGUUUAGGUUUUGCAAGUAAGAAAAAGCGAUACAUCUCUUCUUGUCCUGACUGUGUUGCGCUGGUGGUGCAGGGAGGGAAGGGAAGGAGGUAAAGCAAAUGUAUCGCCGAGAGAGAGAGAGAGAGAGAGAGAGAGAGAGAGAGAGAGAGAGAGAGAGAGAGAGAGAGAGAGAGAGAGAGAGAGAGAGGCCCAAUCAGUAUAAGAGGAGGUAGUGGACAAACACGGCGAGGAAGAUACACAAGAAAACAAGAAGAGAGAAAGAGGAGGACGAGGAGGAGAAGGAAGAGGAGGAGAGGAGCAGGUGGUGGAAGAGGUGUCGGUGGAAUUUGAAGGGAGCGAAGAAUCAAUAAAAGAAAAAAAAGAAGUUAGAUAAUGAGGAUAAAGAAAGAAGCGAGAUAAGUAGCAAAGACGUGAAUAAAGUAGAAAACGAAGAAGAGGGGAGAGGAAAGAAAGAAUAAAGGAGGAAUAAAAUAAAGGAAUAAUAGGAGAAAAAAGGAAGAAGGGAAGAAAGAGAAAGAAGGAAGGACAUAAGCAAAGUGAAUAAAGGAGGAAAUCAGAAAGGAAGAAAGAGAUAAAGUAGAAAGUGAAAAGGAAGAA
RNA transcript from Scylla paramamosain (green mud crab), 3481 nucleotides. RefSeq lists it as uncharacterized. Lineage: Eukaryota; Metazoa; Arthropoda; Malacostraca; Decapoda; Portunidae. The transcript is spliced from 5 exons. The record is from RefSeq and is a predicted model, not a curated record.